This 903-nucleotide unclassified non-coding RNA is filed under the name Hevea brasiliensis (rubber tree). Lineage: Eukaryota; Viridiplantae; Streptophyta; Magnoliopsida; Malpighiales; Euphorbiaceae. The record is from RNAcentral.
CAAAUUGAUGCAAAUUGAGGCUAGCUCCAAUACGGGCAGGCCCCGAAUUGCCUUCAAAACGGGGUGUGUCGAUUGCGUGACGAUGUUAUUAAGCAAAAGGGUGAUACCCAUUAUUGACAGUGGUAAGAUGGUGAUUGAAAUAAGCGACUCGGUGGUGGUGGUGGUGAUGGUGUAAUAGUAGUUAACAAUAAGCUGCAAAAUGAAUAAAAGAGAUCGAAUCGUGUAAAGAAGGGCAUUUCAACAUCUGGAUAAUCAACGGAGACUAUAGCACUCUGGAGAUAGAAUCUUUUUACCUCGACGCCAAGCUCCUCUCUGCUCCUCUGAAACGCCCACAACACCUCGCCCCCACCACACAGGAACACAGAGAAAGCCUGAGAAGCCGCACCUCACUCUUCCACAAUGAGCUACAGCAUGAAGAAUUUGCGAGAACCCAAAUAGAGAGAGAAAGAGAUCUGCCUUCUCCCUCUCUCUAUGUAUAAAUAUUAGUAAAGCUUUUGGCUUUGGCUACCUGUGGCACUUGCCGUGUCUGGGAGUUGUGGUGAAAUAGAAGAUUUUUGAAGAUAAAAAUUAUUAAAACCAAAAAAACCAAUUGGGUUUGUACUGGCAUCCAGUUUUAUGGUAUUAUGAUCUCACUGCUAUGUUUGCUGCUAUAUAUACAGAGGCAGCCAUUACAGUGAAAUGCAUCUAUGUGUGUAGUUUUUAGAUAAAGAAAGAGAAUAUUAUUCAGCAAUCAUAGGAAUAUUAUUCACACCUGCGUAGGUGAUGAGAAUAGAGAUCUUGAUGGGGAUCUCGAAUUUUUUGCAAACCAAACAAUAUUCAGAUCAUUAUACCUUCUUUUGUAAGGUGUAAAAGUUUAGCAGCAUUGAAUUAAAAAAAAAAGCAUUAUUUAACUCGUUAAAACUG